This 419-nucleotide long non-coding RNA is filed under the name Lathyrus oleraceus (garden pea). Its description in RNAcentral is "Pisum sativum (pea) long non-coding RNA (PSAT_LNC013517)". Lineage: Eukaryota; Viridiplantae; Streptophyta; Magnoliopsida; Fabales; Fabaceae. The record is from RNAcentral.
UCACACAAUUACGGAGGUUAGUAAGUGGUUAUUGGUGGUUUGGAGUUGUUGCUCAACCGACAGUGAGAGUGGGUCGCUCUUAUACGGUUGUUGCGGAGAGAAACAUUCGUGUUGUUGUUAGCGGCGCUAACGUAGGUUGUGGGUCUGAGAUAUGGUGUUGAAUAUGAUGAAACUUGAAGGUUGGAAGGAAGGCGAUGGCUAUGGAUUUGUUGUGGUGGUUGGCGGAAGACGAAAAUGGGAGGUAAUCCGGUGAUGGAAGAAAGGUUGUUUUGGUGAGAGGGUGAAGAUGACAGUGUCGUCGGCGGAGGUAGUGGGGAUUUUGAAGCGAAGGUGAUGGAGUAAAUGGAGAGGAAAGGAUAAACUUUUUGCAGUGAGAAUGGGAGGAAAUAACGUGUGAGGGCCCUGUUCUUUUGUUUUUU